This 459-nucleotide ribosomal RNA is filed under the name uncultured bacterium. Its description in RNAcentral is "partial 16S ribosomal RNA". It matches the Rfam family "Bacterial small subunit ribosomal RNA", at positions 339 to 795 of the family's 1533-position model. The record is from RNAcentral.
CUACGGGGGGCAGCAGUAAGGAAUAUUGGUCAAUGGACACAAGUCUGAACCAGCCAUGCCGCGUGAAGGAUGAAGGUCCUCUGGAUUGUAAACUUCUUUUAUAGGGGGCGAAAAAAGGGAAAUCUUUCUCACCUGACAGUACCCUAUGAAUAAGCACCGGCUAACUCCGUGCCAGCAGCCGCGGUAAUACGGAGGGUGCAAGCGUUAUCCGGAUUCACUGGGUUUAAAGGGUGCGUAGGCGGGCGUAUAAGUCAGUGGUGAAAUCCUGGAGCUUAACUCCAGAACUGCCAUUGAUACUAUAUGUCUUGAAUAUGGUGGAGGUAAGCGGAAUAUGUCAUGUAGCGGUGAAAUGCAUAGAUAUGACAUAGAACACCUAUUGCGAAGGCAGCUUACUACGCCUAUAUUGACGCUGAGGCACGAAAGCGUGGGGAUCAAACAGGAUUAGAUACCCCCGUAGUC